This 89-nucleotide transfer RNA is filed under the name Candidatus Nitrosotenuis cloacae. Its description in RNAcentral is "tRNA-Phe (GAA) (tRNA-Phe-GAA-2-1)". It matches the Rfam family "tRNA". From Rfam's summary of the family: Transfer RNA (tRNA) molecules are approximately 80 nucleotides in length. Their secondary structure includes four short double-helical elements and three loops (D, anti-codon, and T loops). Further hydrogen bonds mediate the characteristic L-shaped molecular structure. tRNAs have two regions of fundamental functional importance: the anti-codon, which is responsible for specific mRNA codon recognition, and the 3' end, to which the tRNAs corresponding amino acid is attached (by aminoacyl-tRNA synthetases). tRNAs cope with the degeneracy of the genetic code in two manners: having more than one tRNA (with a specific anti-codon) for a particular amino acid; and 'wobble' base-pairing, i.e. permitting non-standard base-pairing at the 3rd anti-codon position. Lineage: Archaea; Thermoproteati; Nitrososphaerota. The record is from Rfam by way of RNAcentral.
GGUAGGAUCGGCAAGCUCGGGAUGCCGACUGUUUGAAAAACAGUUUAUCUGUGGCUCAGAUAUCGUGGGUUCAAAUCCCACUCCUACCA